This 194-nucleotide ribosomal RNA is filed under the name uncultured bacterium. RNAcentral describes it as "partial 16S ribosomal RNA". It matches the Rfam family "Bacterial small subunit ribosomal RNA", at positions 338 to 524 of the family's 1533-position model. The record is from RNAcentral.
CCUAGGGGAGGCAGCAGUGGGGAAUAUUGCACAAUGGGCGCAAGCCUGAUGCAGCCAUGCCGCGUGUAUGAAGAAGGCCUUCGGGUUGUAAAGUACUUUCAGCGGGGAGGAAGGUGUUGAGGCUAAUAACCUCAGCAAUUGACGUUACCCGCAGAAGAAGCACCGGCUAACUCCGUGCCAGCAGCCGCGGUAAU